Molecule: transfer RNA, 90 nt
Filed under: Dipodomys ordii (Ord's kangaroo rat)
Lineage: Eukaryota; Metazoa; Chordata; Mammalia; Rodentia; Heteromyidae
Rfam family: tRNA
About the family: Transfer RNA (tRNA) molecules are approximately 80 nucleotides in length. Their secondary structure includes four short double-helical elements and three loops (D, anti-codon, and T loops). Further hydrogen bonds mediate the characteristic L-shaped molecular structure. tRNAs have two regions of fundamental functional importance: the anti-codon, which is responsible for specific mRNA codon recognition, and the 3' end, to which the tRNAs corresponding amino acid is attached (by aminoacyl-tRNA synthetases). tRNAs cope with the degeneracy of the genetic code in two manners: having more than one tRNA (with a specific anti-codon) for a particular amino acid; and 'wobble' base-pairing, i.e. permitting non-standard base-pairing at the 3rd anti-codon position.
Source: Rfam by way of RNAcentral
GGAGAUGUGGCUUAAGUGGUAGAGUGCCAGCCUUAAGGGGAAAAACUAAGCAAGAGCUGAUGGCCCUAAGUUCAAAUCCUAGUACUACCC